This 84-nucleotide transfer RNA is filed under the name bacterium. RNAcentral's name for it is "tRNA-Leu". It matches the Rfam family "tRNA". From Rfam's summary of the family: Transfer RNA (tRNA) molecules are approximately 80 nucleotides in length. The record is from RNAcentral.
GCCGGGAUGGCGGAACUGGUAGACGCAGCGGACUUAAAAUCCGCCGGAAGAAAUUCCAUGCCGGUUCGAUUCCGGCUCUCGGCA